AUGAUCAAGGACCCCACAGACAUGAUAUCAUCCGCUACAAGCCACAAAGUCAGGAGUCUUCUCCUCCAGCACAUUGUUUAAAACUUCCCAUUCAGAAGGUAGGGGAGACCACAGAGGCACAGUUUCCCUGAACAGGGGUGGUGCUGUUUUGUGUUUUCUCAGUAUGUUGAGUUGCAGGUGGUGGCUGCUGUUCAGAUUGGAGUAUGAUGGCACCUACUUUAAAAUGGUAGCAGCCGAGGCUGGCUCGACUCCUUCUUUUUCCUGGAUGCCAACAAGACAGUGCUGUGCUGUGACCACUAAUUCUGCUAGUGUUAAUAUACGAUAUGUACAGAAUGUCAAUAACAUCUAAAAGAUCA
Micropterus dolomieu (smallmouth bass) is the source of this 356-nucleotide long non-coding RNA. RefSeq lists it as uncharacterized. NCBI's taxonomy places the organism in Eukaryota, Metazoa, Chordata, Actinopteri, Centrarchiformes, Centrarchidae. The transcript is spliced from 3 exons. The record is from RefSeq and is a predicted model, not a curated record.